RNAcentral lists this transfer RNA (67 nucleotides) under Mantidae JZ-2017. RNAcentral describes it as "tRNA-Arg". Lineage: Eukaryota; Metazoa; Arthropoda; Insecta; Mantodea; Mantidae. The record is from RNAcentral.
AAGUAAGAAACAAAUUAAUUGUAAUCAGUUUCGACCUGGAAAAAAGAUAUUAUAAUAUCCUUAUUUA